RNAcentral lists this transfer RNA (86 nucleotides) under Kitasatospora aureofaciens. RNAcentral's name for it is "Streptomyces aureofaciens tRNA-Leu". It matches the Rfam family "tRNA". From Rfam's summary of the family: Transfer RNA (tRNA) molecules are approximately 80 nucleotides in length. Their secondary structure includes four short double-helical elements and three loops (D, anti-codon, and T loops). Further hydrogen bonds mediate the characteristic L-shaped molecular structure. tRNAs have two regions of fundamental functional importance: the anti-codon, which is responsible for specific mRNA codon recognition, and the 3' end, to which the tRNAs corresponding amino acid is attached (by aminoacyl-tRNA synthetases). tRNAs cope with the degeneracy of the genetic code in two manners: having more than one tRNA (with a specific anti-codon) for a particular amino acid; and 'wobble' base-pairing, i.e. permitting non-standard base-pairing at the 3rd anti-codon position. The record is from RNAcentral. RNAcentral also lists the same sequence under 20 other names. Lineage: Bacteria; Bacillati; Actinomycetota; Actinomycetes; Kitasatosporales; Streptomycetaceae.
GCCGGGUUGGUGGAAGGGCAGACACGAUCGCCUCAAAAGCGAUUGCCUGAAAGGGCGUGUGGGUUCGAAUCCCACACUCGGCACCA